UACGUAGGGGGCUAGCGUUGUCCGGAAUCAUUGGGCGUAAAGAGCUCGUAGGCGGUGUGUCGCGUCGGCCGUGAAAACCUGCAGCUUAACUGUGGGCUUGCGGUCGAUACGGGCAUCACUGGAGUUCGGCAGGGGAGACUGGAAUUCCUGGUGUAGCGGUGAAAUGCGCAGAUAUCAGGAGGAACACCGGUGGCGAAGGCGGCGAUCUGGGUCGAUACUGACGCUGAGGUGCGAAAGCGUGGGGGAGCAAACAGG
RNAcentral lists this ribosomal RNA (255 nucleotides) under uncultured bacterium. Its description in RNAcentral is "partial 16S ribosomal RNA". It matches the Rfam family "Bacterial small subunit ribosomal RNA", at positions 524 to 776 of the family's 1533-position model. The record is from RNAcentral.